CAGAAAAUAUCCCAUUGGUCCCAUUGAAAUAAAUUACCAUUUGCUUCAUGUGCUUUUUUGGGUUUCUUUUACUGUGGUCAUAAUUUUUGACGUUUAUUUACUGGUUGUCGCCAUUUAACUUUUGUCAAUUAUUUUUAACAUGUUGGAUACGUAUUUUGUUUUAUGAAUUAAUUGCCACAUUAAAUACAUAAUUGAUCAUUUUUAGUUGCAAUAAUGUGUUAUUUAUAAUAAGUAUGAGGGAAUAAACAAUCACCGAUGCUGUAUUAAUGUGAAAAAGGAGAACAUUCUAUUCUUAUAAUAAUGAAUAUGUGUACAAGGAAAAGACAUGUUUCAAUGUUAAAUUGAUUUAAUAUGCAAAGCAACUAACAACUACGAUUGCCAGUGGCACACUGCUUGCUGCCAUUUCAAUUUAACCUGGUAUAUAUAUUAAUUUAAUAAUUGUUUAUUCUGUGGUAUAAAAAUUAAAUGAGAUGGCAUUAUGUUGUUAUUUUGGCGGAAAUGGGUUUUCUUUCUCAUGAAGAAAACUGGUUGAUUUGAACGGCAGAACUCCAACAAUAGUUAUGAACGACAUAUGGAUGCAGGAGACGAUUGACUUUGAAACAUAAAUCUGGGAAAAAGCUGUAAGAUAGCAUUUUGAUGUGAAGAUGAUCGAUUACUCAGAAAUUACUGCAUUGGAUUAUUUGAUGGCAAUAGGCGGAAACGAUCAGUGUAUUUCUAAUAUUUGCAAAUUUGUGAAAGUAGGAUUUUGAAAGAUCAUACAGGCAAUUUGGAAAGGCAAUUGAAGACCUUUCACUUAGAUAAAUAUGAGGCCUUUCUGCAUGCUUGAGAAUGCAGCACUCAAAGUUCUGACUGGACCAGUAUUAAAUGCUGUGCGAAAUAAAAUCAAUUGACGCAAUAUUAAAGAGCACAUUGGGAACCAUUGUACUAAGAUUAAAGACAGACGUAUUGAAGACUUGAAACGAAAGCUUACUUUAAUAAAAAUUGACAUAGCUUCGAGAUUCAAUUUAACUGUCCUUGCAAUAUAUGUGCCUUAUAUAUUAAAGACAAAGAAAUUGCAAUAAAAACACAUUAAAAGAAACAAGGGCCUUGCAUACAAGCGAAUGCCUAAAGUCCAUUAUAAUGGAAGUUUUACAAUAUUGUAAUAUAAAUUUAAAUCAAAUUUUAACAAUUACAACGGAUAUGUCGUAAAAUGAAUUGAAACCUGUCUUUCUGAAAGUUGUAAAUAAAAGAAUAAUAAAUAA
Long non-coding RNA from Teleopsis dalmanni, 1241 nucleotides. RefSeq lists it as uncharacterized. Lineage: Eukaryota; Metazoa; Arthropoda; Insecta; Diptera; Diopsidae. The transcript is spliced from 5 exons. The record is from RefSeq and is a predicted model, not a curated record.